GACGAACGCUGGCGGCGUGCUUAACACAUGCAAGUCGAACGAAGCUUGAUUUAGGAGUUCUUCGGAAUGAAUAAUGAUAUGACUUAGUGGCGGACGGGUGAGUAACACGUGAGCAACCUGCCCUUCAGAGGGGAAUAACGUUUGGAAACGAACGCUAAUACCCCAUAACAUCGGGAAACGGCAUCGAAUUCCGAUCAAAGAUUUAUCGCUGAGGGAUGGGCUCGCGUCCGAUUAGGUAGUUGGUGAGAUAACAGCCCACCAAGCCGACGAUCGGUAGCCGGACUGAGAGGUUGAACGGCCACAUUGGGACUGAGACACGGCCCAGACUCCUACGGGAGGCAGCAGUGGGGGAUAUUGCACAAUGGGGGAAACCCUGAUGCAGCGACGCCGCGUGAGGGAAGACGGUUUUCGGAUUGUAAAUCUCUGUCUUCGGGGACGAACAGAUGACGGUACCCGAGGAGGAAGCCACGGCUAACUACGUG
This 482-nucleotide ribosomal RNA is filed under the name uncultured bacterium. RNAcentral describes it as "bacterial SSU rRNA". It matches the Rfam family "Bacterial small subunit ribosomal RNA", at positions 28 to 507 of the family's 1533-position model. The record is from RNAcentral.